Eublepharis macularius is the source of this 693-nucleotide long non-coding RNA. RefSeq lists it as uncharacterized. The record is from RefSeq and is a predicted model, not a curated record. The transcript is spliced from 4 exons. NCBI's taxonomy places the organism in Eukaryota, Metazoa, Chordata, Lepidosauria, Squamata, Eublepharidae.
UAGUGGUUAGAGUGUUAGGCUAGGAUCCAGGAGGCCCAGUUGCAAAGCACCACUCUGCCAUGAAGCAAACUGAGUGACCUUGGGCUAGUCAAUCUAACGGAUCUUAUGGGGUUAUGCUGAAGAUAAAAAGAGAAAGCUCAGUGUCGCCCUGAGCUCUUGAGCAGGAUAAAAAGACAUUUCCUCUUGUAUUCAGAUAGCUGUCAGUGCUUUCUGGCCUGAACUCAGCCCUGCUGAUCUUACAUCUGAAUCAAAACAUCACCAUUUGUAUCUUUGGCAGAGGCUGGGAAGCUUAACCGUGCACUCAGUCAGCUGCAGCAGGGUGUUGUAGUCAGGUGAUAAAAAUAGAGGUGGGAAACCCAGAACUAUUGGAAGAAUGCAGAAAUGGCCAUUUAAACGCCUUCAUGAAAAUUGUGUCCACAGUUCCUGUGAAAGGCUUAGAAGUUAGAGAGAACAUCUUAAAAUAGCAAAAAUGGGACUCUCUGCUGGAAGUACUUUGAAGGGUUAAAGCCAGAAGGAAAGCCAGAAGGAGUUCAGACAGAGUUCAGUCCCUCCCUCUCUGGUUGCCAAGGGAAUUGAUUGCAGCAGGCUCCAGACUGUCUGGCUUGCUGGACCACUGCUGAAGGCAAUGAAGAAGGCUUUUAACGACCACCCGUGCGUUUAGGGGCCUCCCGAACAGCUUGCUUGCGAACAGCA